This 433-nucleotide ribosomal RNA is filed under the name uncultured bacterium. Its description in RNAcentral is "partial 16S ribosomal RNA". It matches the Rfam family "Bacterial small subunit ribosomal RNA", at positions 29 to 507 of the family's 1533-position model. The record is from RNAcentral.
AACGAACGCUGGCGGCAGGCCUAACACAUGCAAGUCGAGCGCGCCCUUCGGGGUGAGCGGCGGACGGGUGAGUAACGCGUGGGAACGUGCCCUUCUCUGCGGAAUAGCCUCGGGAAACUGAGAGUAAUACCGCAUACGCCCUUUGGGGGAAAGAUUUAUCGGAGAAGGAUCGGCCCGCGUUGGAUUAGGUAGUUGGUGGGGUAAUGGCCCACCAAGCCGACGAUCCAUAGCUGGUUUGAGAGGAUGAUCAGCCACACUGGGACUGAGACACGGCCCAGACUCCUACGGGAGGCAGCAGUGGGGAAUCUUAGACAAUGGGGGCAACCCUGAUCUAGCCAUACCGCGUGAGUGAUGAAGGCCUUAGGGUUGUAAAGCUCUUUCAGCUGGGAAGAUAAUGACGGUACCAGCAGAAGAAGCCCCGGCUAACUCCGUG